GGGGGAGGGGGAGGGUGGGAGGGGAGAGAUGAGAAGAGGGAAUGGCAAACAGACCAAAAGAGGAGCCAAGGAACAAGUGAUCAAUGUCGCGUCAAGAGAGCAGGAGAGCUCCGGAAAACCAAGCAAGCGCAAAGCCGAAUGGACAGUGAUAACCAUUGAAUCGCAUAACCUACUGAAGAGAAGACUCCAGAGAAACAGGUCUCUGCUUGAGCUCCUGCCCGACUCCCCACAAUGACACAACAGGACUUGGAAGUAUAAGCUAAUGGGAGACAUUUUGCUCCCCCAAGGAGUUUUGUUCUGUGUUUCAUCAUAGCACCAGAAAGCAAACCAGGAUGCACAAAAGUCCAGGGAGUGGGCAUUUUGCAGUUCCCCAAAACAGUGCCUCACAGGUGACAGCAUUUUUUCCUUCUUGUGAACUGUUGCUUAACUUAAGAUCAUUGUGACACCACUUAGGGUGACACUGGCAUUUCUGGCAACAGAAAGAGAUGAAAUGUUUACCUUCUCCAAGAACCAAAGUUCCGUACUCAAAUUCCUCAAGCUUCAUCUGUGCCUAAGAUCCUGGAAGGGAAGUAACAUAGAGAUGACUAAAUAUCCUGCCAUCGAUGGAUAUAGAAUAAACGUGGGAAGAUGGACUCAACGGCUAAUAGCAGCUAAGGGAAGGAUAGGAGGAGGGAUUCUACUGGUAGAUACAAGGGCCAUCAGCAAACCUUGUCUAAAUACAGAGGAGCACACUACCUUCAAUAAAUCACAUGGGGUUGGUGAAAAGACCUUUGCUAUUUCCAAAAUUAUUACCAAGCAUUUGCAACAAAGACCACUCUGAGCCAGGGUUUAAAGAGUGUGGUAGCUGUUCUUGGUUGUCAACCUGACUGACCGUUUCCAGAAUUAACUGAAAGCCAAGCAGCUGGAUACACCAGAGAGAGAAACAUUUUUCUUAAUUAAAUAACUUUAAGUUGGAAGCCCAAGUUUUAAUCUGGAUCUUUUGAGGUGGAAAUCCACCUUUAAUGUGAGCCACAUUUUCUGAAGGACACAGAAGAAGGAAGCGUGCUCUUUGCCUGCUUGCUCUCCCUCUGUCUAGCAAGUCCAUUCCUUCUCUGGUUGUGAAAGCUACUUCUUCAGGAUUCUGGCGUAUACUGAAGACCAGCUGAUGCCUGGCCUUGUGGACUAAACAACUACUAGAUUCUCAGAACUUCCAUUGGUUGAUAGCCAUUAUUGAACGAGUUGAACCACAAUAUAGAUGGUUUUAAGAACCCGUGCACGCUGUGGGUGUGGACAAAUCUCAAACCUGGCUGGC
This is a long non-coding RNA of Rattus norvegicus (Norway rat), 1291 nucleotides long. The record is from Ensembl. NCBI's taxonomy places the organism in Eukaryota, Metazoa, Chordata, Mammalia, Rodentia, Muridae.